Long non-coding RNA from Hemibagrus wyckioides, 596 nucleotides. RefSeq lists it as uncharacterized. Lineage: Eukaryota; Metazoa; Chordata; Actinopteri; Siluriformes; Bagridae. The record is from RefSeq and is a predicted model, not a curated record. The transcript has 5 exons.
CACAGACACAAUGCUGGAGCGAGACGUGACAAAGAGUCAGGGUUAUUUAUGGAGUGUGAUUAGGUGUUCACACACACACACACACACACUAUUCCAUUUUAAGCGCUCCAGUGCUCAGGCUGAGCCCAGAUGAUUGAUGAAUGCCGUCUAAAGUAUUUUAAACUAAGCUGAAUUAUUCUGAGUAGCAAGAGCGGAGCUGUAGACCUCAGAGGAACGAAAUAAGCGAAGUUCUGGCAUGGAAUGUGGGACGUUUUGAAAACCACCGUGACCUCUGAAAGCUGCGCUGCUCGGGCUAUUCCAAGCAGGCCGCCCCAUCCCAGCACAAAAUCUGCCUGACGUUCCAGAGAGCAGUUCUACUACAUCACACAGUCCCGCUGACCAACACGUGCCCUCAACGACACAACAGCAUCCAAGAAUGAUUCAUCUGGCUCGGGCCGCGUUUCAGAAAGCAGCGAGGCCUUAAAUUACGCUUGGACGCCGCACUCAUUUGGGAACAGAAGUGGACCGAGGAUGGACCAGCAGUGGAGGUCUAUGACCACACACACAAAAAAAAAGACUUUAACUAUUUAUCUAUGUAAAAAAUAAAGGAUGGCUAC